AGCGAACGCUAGCGGCGGGCCUAACACAUGCAAGUCGAGCGCAUACCUUCGGGUAUGAGCGGCGGACGGGUGAGUAACGCGUAGGUCGUCUACCCUUUGGUGGGGGAUAACCCAGGGAAACUUGGGCUAAUACCGCACGAGGUCCACGGAUCAAAGCCUUCGGGCGCCAGAGGAUGAGCCUGCGUCGCAUUACCUAGUUGGCGGGGUAACGGCCCACCAAGGGGACGAUGCGUAGCUGGUCUGAGAGGAUGAUCAGCCACACUGGGACUGAGACACGGCCCAGACUCCUACGGGAGGCAGCAGUGGGGAAUAUUGCGCAAUGGGGGAAACCCUGACGCAGCCACGCCGCGUGGGUGAUGAAGGCCUUCGGGUUGUAAAGCCCUGUCGGGAGGGACGAAUUCUUGACGGUACCUCCAAAGAAAGCACCGGCUAACUCCGUGCCAGCAGCCGCGGUAAU
RNAcentral lists this ribosomal RNA (457 nucleotides) under uncultured bacterium. RNAcentral describes it as "bacterial SSU rRNA". It matches the Rfam family "Bacterial small subunit ribosomal RNA", at positions 28 to 524 of the family's 1533-position model. The record is from RNAcentral.